RNAcentral lists this non-coding RNA (163 nucleotides) under uncultured Prevotella sp. The record is from RNAcentral. Lineage: Bacteria; Pseudomonadati; Bacteroidota; Bacteroidia; Bacteroidales; Prevotellaceae.
AAAGGUGCACUUAGCUGUGCUUAAUUGGGAAUGUGAGUGAGAAUCUCCGACUGUCCCGCAGCAGUGAACUCCAUUAUGGCUCCUAAGCAUAAACGCCAUUGUCCGUUUGGAUGAGAAGGCGCUUGGGAGUGGAGGAAAGUCUGAAGACCAGCCUUUUUCGGUU